GGAGGGAGGAACCAAAAGAAAAUUGGCAGACUUAUGAGCCUGUCAGGGUCCUCAUAAGCCGAGAUACCUUUGAGGAAGCAGAGAGGUGCCUGGAGAGGUAUUUGAAGCAGCAAUGCGACACCACUGAUAUCCAGUCAGAGGAGGAGAGCCAACAGCCUCAGAAAAGGAGAAAGAAACCAAACCUAAUCUACAAGAAUUCAGAUGACUCUGAUGAAGAUCAACCUCGGAGUAAAUAUCCCCAAGCUCCAAAAAUUUUGUUCCCAGGUACAGUAUAGUAGGUGUUACGGUAGUGUUCCCUGUGUUUGUUCGUUCUCCUCCCAUUCUCUACCUCUGCUCAGGUGCAUUGCAUCUGAGGACCUUGAUUAG
Long non-coding RNA from Xyrauchen texanus (razorback sucker), 366 nucleotides. RefSeq lists it as uncharacterized. The record is from RefSeq and is a predicted model, not a curated record. The transcript is spliced from 3 exons. Lineage: Eukaryota; Metazoa; Chordata; Actinopteri; Cypriniformes; Catostomidae.